AGAGUAUUAAUUUCUCAAGGGAAACAUAAUACUUUGGGUUUUUUUUUUUUUUUUUUGCUUCUUCUAUCUUCUAUAGAGCUUAGUAAUAGUCACCGGCAGGCAGAAUUCCUUAAAUAUUUGAAUUCUGCUGUAUCUUAGGCUCUCAUGUCUUCAAAUCUAUAACCCUUAGGCUCCAAUUUAAUACCUUGGGAGGACAGCCUGGCUCUCUGUUCCUCUGCACAGCUACCCAGCUUAAGUUAUAAAACAGGGCAACAGAGGUCUAUAAUGUUCCUUUCAACUGCCACUUAGCCCCCAAUCAAGGAUUGAUUUGUAAGUCAAUCCUUUCAUCAAUUCUCAGUGAGCAACAAUCUAAUGUUAUCCUUGCUCCUAUUUCUUAACUAGCCCCUAUAACUUCCUGUCACUUGCUCCAAACUAAAACAUUACAAGAUUCACCACUGUGUGUGAUUCUCAGCUAUUCACCUUCUCUUAGCAAUUUUCCCUUGGUUUGGUAAUGAUGAGACACCAACAAUAAAUAUUUGCAGAGGAAGUUCAGAUUCAAAAAUUCAUCUUUCUCUGAUGAAGUAAGGUAAAGGUACCACUGCCAACUGACUGAAAAUUUUGAAAAAAGACAAAGUCUGGGGCAAUUUGACAGCCCAUAAAUGAAUCAUCUUCUACAUAGUUUUAAAAAACUAUAACUAAAACUAUAGUUUUAAAAAAACUGUAUAACUAAAAGGUCUUUUACUGGGAUUGGAAUUUUGUGCAUCUAUUUGGCUGGACAUAGUAUGGACACUGGGCCUUCUAAACCAAGGUUUCAUGGAAAGAAUUAACCCCUAAUUCCUUAGGCAUCUCUUGUAUGUAAUAAAUUACCUAGUAUCAUUCAAGAAAUAUGUAUAGAGAAAAGUCAGGUGCCCUCCAGAAGAGUCCCUCAAAUCAUUUUCUAUGUUCUGUGAUUUCAGACGAGAAACCCCAGCUGAGGAGGCAAAUAUACUCAAGGAAAGUAAUAGUUUCCAAAUGCCUGGCAGUGCCAGGAAGGGGCCAUGUCCAUGGACCACUAUGUAAGGAUAUCUCAGUCUCUAGUCCAGCGUGGUUUAUGGUGCCAAAUAAGUGCCAGGUGAACUCACUACAUCUGACAAAAUCUCAAGGAACCAAGUUUACCAGAUAAUAUUUAUGAUUAUGUGAAAAAGACUGAGGAAAUCACUCAAGUGAUCCAUCAUACAGCACCUCCAGUUCCAAAGAAUACUGACUUACUUCAGCUGUACUGGUCUGGAGCUGCACAUUCUUUUCAGACAACUCUUGUUCCAGUAAGUUCAGGCUAGAGUGCAAUGGUGCAACCUCAGCUCACUGCAACCUCCGCUUCCCAGGUUCAAGCGAUUCUCCUGCUUCAGCCUCCCUGGUUGCUGGGAUUACAGGUGACUCUUCUCCUGUAACAGAGCCUCCUUCUUAGAAACUAUGGCCUCCCGUUUCUUUAAGUCUGCUUCCAGCUCCUCUAAUUCUUGGCGUUGGUUCAGAACUUUCUCUACUUCUUCAUCUAACCAUUUCUUUUGCUCAUCCAAUUUCUACAUUAAAAUUAAAAAAAAAGUUACUUGUU
Long non-coding RNA from Homo sapiens (human), 1567 nucleotides. The record is from Ensembl. Lineage: Eukaryota; Metazoa; Chordata; Mammalia; Primates; Hominidae.